Mirounga angustirostris (Northern elephant seal) is the source of this 634-nucleotide long non-coding RNA. RefSeq lists it as uncharacterized. Lineage: Eukaryota; Metazoa; Chordata; Mammalia; Carnivora; Phocidae. The transcript is spliced from 4 exons. The record is from RefSeq and is a predicted model, not a curated record.
CGUUGGGUGAGGGCGCUGCUUCAUCCCGUGACUAGCUCUGGGCCUGGCAGCGCUGCCCAGCACGCGGCACCUGGGCCUUCUUCUGGGAGCUCAGCGGCGUCUCCUCGGCCGUCAUCCUGCAUGGCAGCGAGGUGACAGCCAUGGCACCGUCGCAGCGGGAGGUCCUGCCCCCGGCACCACUGUCCCCGCUGAGGAGAAAGUGGACGCAAAGAAGAGGAGAGCAGAGAGCAGGCAUAAUGGACAAAUGUAAUGUUGCCUGAAAGCAAGGCUGUCAUUGUUAACACUGCUGAUCAACUCUUCCGAGGCUUUGAGGGAACCAAGAGUUGCAGUUUCAAGGUCGUAUGGAUGAUGGGACAUCUCUGGAAAGGGCCAACUCUAAGCAACUGUGUUUCAGCUGGAACAUUACAAAUACACAACUGAAUGAAAGAUGAGAAGACAAUCUGUCGGGGGGGCCGGCAGCACUGAAGUCCACUGUAGUUUGCAGAGCAAAAUUUACUGUUUCAUCUGAGUCUUGGUUAUUUCUACCGCCGGAUUUAACAAAACUCUAAUGUUAAAUUUAAAGUAGCAUGAGGGUUUUAUAAAGACCUUGCAUAAUAAAUUCCAGCCCAUAUGGCCUCAUUCGCAGAAUCUGAAA